Molecule: long non-coding RNA, 3027 nt
Organism: Platichthys flesus (European flounder)
Lineage: Eukaryota; Metazoa; Chordata; Actinopteri; Pleuronectiformes; Pleuronectidae
Exons: 4
Source: RefSeq, a predicted model, not a curated record
UCGAACGAUUAUCUGAUCAGACAUGUGAUCGGGACGCGCGCACACACCGGAGCGUGUGCACGGUGUCCGGGGUUUGUCUCAGCUCAUCACACCGCGGACUAUUUUCUCCUUCGCCUGAAAUCUGAGACUCACUUGGUGGAAGGAAAAUAAGCUGAGUGGGUAAAUAGUAAAGAGAGCAGAUAUAAAUAUAACGCUUCCUUGCAUCACACCAGCAAAACUGCUAUUAAUCACAUAUUACACUCAUGUCCUGAUCAUUUGAUACUAAUUAGUGAUUUAAACAUAUUGGUAAUCGAUAAUGAUCCACAUCCUCUCUUAAUGGGUGUGGGAAUGUGGAAUACUCAGAAGAAUGAAGUCACCAGGUCAAGAAAAACAAGACCUAGAGAAAUGCUUUGAUCAUGACUUAUUGUGUGCUGCCAUCUGUUGAUGAAAACAGGAAAUGAUCCUCCACUGCUCCGUGACGGCUCAGGUCCUGAUUAUGCGGGACAGCCAGAGACUGACCGUGUGUAUGAACCUCGUUAUAGACAGUCUGUGGUCUGAACCUGAGCUGCGACUUCACUGCCUGAGAGAUAAGUCGAGCAGGAACCUACAUUUUUUUAGACGAUCACUAAUUGCUUUGCUCUAAUUGAGUUUGUGCACAUGUUUAUUUAAUGUCUGCUUUUUCUUUUUGUACUCUGCAACGACUGAACCUUUUUCCCCCCCAUUGUGCAGAAUAUGAUGAUGAUGGGGAGACAAGAAGGUAGCCCCACCGUUACGGUCUUUAAUUCACCAGAAAGCUUUUUAAGCGUUAAUACAGAUAUUUGUCUCAGAAUAUUAUAAAAUACAUAUUAGAAUUUGCGGUGAAGGUCGUAAACAGCGCAGGAAACAACAGGAACUUGUAACAUGUGAUAUAACAGCUUGGAUGCCAAAUUAGAUUACAAUUCAAAUAAACUGUAUACAAAGGAAUGAGUCUACUGACUAAAUGAAGCCAACUGACUGCACUCAUGAUAUUGUUCUCUUAGCUGAGACAGAAAAAGGCCUGAGGAGUAUAACAGCGUGUAGGGUGUUAGAUAGGUUUUGUGGUCGUUAACCUUCUCCUAUCACUCAGACAUUUCAGGAGAUAGUAUAUGAUAAGAAAUUUGGUUUGAGUUUUUCGACAAACCUGGAACGCCAUACAUUUAUGAAAUGUUUAAAAACCAGAAUGAAAAUUGGACUGUGACUGCUGCUUGCUUCUUUGAAAAACCCUUAAUCAGGUUUCUUAACUAACGUACACGUUUUGUUUAAUGCAAGUCAUUCAGUAUGUUACAAAAAGCUGAAGCUCGUAAGUGGAAUCUCCCUUUUUGCCUGAUGUUGACUGUGGAGAUGUGUUUUAUACUAACGCCUCAGCAGCUGACUGUCCUCACAAGCUUUUAUAGCUGAGCUUGAGGAGAUGAGUGUGGAGCAGCAGACAUGGUGACCCUCAGGCUGCUGGAGUGGUGCCACGGUGUUCUUCUGACCUGUAGGGUCACACCUUUCACACAGCCAGAGGAAAUGCUGUGGUCAGGAUCCUGAGAACUGUUGUAUCACACACGUCCAUCAGGCCUUGACAUUCGCUGACUUGUUAACGACACCGGAGGUCUCAUCUCAGCAGUCUUUGCCCUUGUUCAUUCCUCCAGAUGUUGAGGUUUACAGAGGAGUCCUGCUGAAGAGGCUGUCCACUCGUUGCUGCUAUGCUCCACUCACAGUGUAUCUGUGUAGGUCGGACACAGCACACUGCUCACAACCUCCCAAUACCUCAGAUUAUGCUGUCACCUGCUUAUCAAACACAUAGCAUUAGAUUUUGUACAUUAUUUCAAACUCAAGUUUUUUUUAAAAGAACAUAUUGAAACAAUGAGAAAUAUAUGAUAAUAAGGCUGAUAAGGAUCAUUCAGAGGUUGUUUCAUCAAAGUUGUCUGUUUGGCCUGUUUCCUAUUGUUUGACUUCAAUCGUUUUAUUCUGAACUUGUAAAGCAGCUUUUAACUGUGUUUUGAAAGUUGCCAUAUAAAUAAAGUUUAUUUUUAUCAUAUCAUAAGCAGGAUUACGCAAAAGUUACACAACCAGUUCUUCAUUAAUCACUCAGAAAACAAUUCAUGGAUCUUGAUGAAAAAAAUCGGACUUGUUUUUGGGGACUGGUAUUUAUGAGAGUGUGCAAUUCGGUGUGGCUCCAGAUAAAAAACUAGAUCUAGUGAAUUUACAUGUGGUUUCAUGAGGGGACUAUUGGACCUUGGUGGAGUUUGCAAUAAACCAUUCUAGUUUGUUGUUUUGUUUGAUUUUGAGCAAGAUUACACACAAAUAUACAAAACUGCUUUCUACAAAACAAAAAGAAUUUAGAUCUGGGGCAGAUUUGAGCUCAGUAAGAUCAUCAAACGACUUCCCAUUGUCUUUUCUGCUGUAAGAACUAAACAUCAUGUGUAGGAUUGUUUGACCUUGGUGAAGGUAUAUGCUCCACUCAGUUUCAGAUUUUUUAUUUCAUUUUAUUUAAUUUAAAGAAACCAAUUAAAACAGUUUUAAGGACACACAUGAGACUGACUGUGACCAAAACACACCCUCCUCCUCCUCCUCCUCCUCAUAGGUGCUCCUGAAUGUGGGACAGCGAGGUCACUGUGGUGCAGAGGUCGCCGAGUCUGGCUCGCACGUGCACCGUUUAGCCACAGCCGAUCCAAUCCUCUUACGCUACCCCCCCUACUUCUUCUUCCUUCAGCACUCAGGCCAGACUAUAAGAUCAGCUCACUGCAUGCAGGUCUUAUCCUGAAGCAGUAGAUCCUCAGAGUCACGUCAGCAGGGACAUCCAUCGACAGUGAUUCUUCACGAUGUCACCAGUGCUCACUGGUCCUGCAGGAGGCGUUUCUCAGUGGGCGCUCGGCUGCCACAGGAAUAGGACGACAUCUGACAACACACAUGGAUUCAUUUUAUUCUUUUUCUGAUGUGAUCAUCCUGUUUGUUCAUGCCUGGCUGGGGAAUUCCCCGAUUAGCUAUUUCAAUGUUGCUAUCUUUGCACAAAUAGGUUUUAAGUUGUUAAAUAACAAUAGUUUG